CCAAUGGGUUUCUUCGUAUUGUACAAAUUAUCCUAAACUAAUAUACUAAUCCGUAUGAUGCGAUGAAUAGAUAAUUAAAAAAAAUAAAAAGGUGACAAAGACAGAGGAAAUGGUGAUAAAAAAAGCAACGAUGAGGGAUAGGAUUUAUCAUGUCGAUAAAAAAAGAUAACAACUGAAGAAAGUGAAGGAGUAAUAGCAGUUCGGCCCAAUAUAGAGAUAUGAUCCGAUUCAGUUUAAGUAAAAAAAAAAAAAAUGAUUUGGUUCGAGUAAAGAAAGAAAAAAAAUAUAUAGAGGACUUGAGCCGGUUCAGGAGAUCCUACACUUAAUAAUGAUUAGUUUGGUUCAAGUAAAGAAAAAGAAAAAUUCUGAUCCGGUUUAAGCAAAGAAAAAAAAAUAUAUGUGAAAGACUUGAGCCAAUUCGUGUGAAGCCCACACCCAACAAUGAAAAAGAUAUUUGUUAUAUGGCAAAUUUAGCAAGAAUAAUGCAUAAGUAUAAACUUGAACCGAUGCGGAAAGUUCACACUCAAUAAUAAUUGAUUCGAUUCAAACAAAAAAGAGAACUAGUUCGGUUCAAGCAAAUAAAGAGAAAAAAAGGUGAAAAACUUGAGUCGGUUCAGAAUGGAAACAUUGCUUAUGGCAAAUAUAGACAUAUUAGUAUAUUAUCAAAUUAACUUCUGAAUCUCAAAAUAGUAAUGCUCAUGCUAAAAGAUAUACGCCCGUAAUCGCCUUUAUAUAUAGGUCCAUCUUCAAAAUCUUCAUCGAUCUCCAUGAUAACACUCUCUCCACGGCCUCAUCUGACUACUCAUAUGUUUGUCUCAUCUCUAAAAAGGAAGGAGCGCGCAAAUUAAAGGACUUCCG
Molecule: long non-coding RNA, 858 nt
Filed under: Ananas comosus (pineapple)
Lineage: Eukaryota; Viridiplantae; Streptophyta; Magnoliopsida; Poales; Bromeliaceae
Description: long non-coding RNA (ACOM_LNC025245)
Source: RNAcentral